UAACACAUGCAAGUCGAGGGGAAACGACGUCGAAAGCUUGCUUUCGAUGGGCGUCGACCGGCGCACGGGUGAGUAACGCGUAUCCAACCUGCCCAUCACUUGGGGAUAACCUUGCGAAAGUAAGACUAAUACCCAAUGACGUCUCUAGAAGACAUCUGAAGGAGAUUAAAGAUUUAUCGGUGAUGGAUGGGGAUGCGUCUGAUUAGCUUGUUGGCGGGGUAACGGCCCACCAAGGCGACGAUCAGUAGGGGUUCUGAGAGGAAGGUCCCCCACAUUGGAACUGAGACACGGUCCAAACUCCUACGGGAGGCAGCAGUGAGGAAUAUUGGUCAAUGGGCGAGAGCCUGAACCAGCCAAGUAGCGUGCAGGAUGACGGCCCUAUGGGUUGUAAACUGCUUUUAUAAGGGAAUAAAGUGAGCCUCGUGAGGCUUUUUGCAUGUACCUUAUGAAUAAGGACCGGCUAAUUCCGUGCCAGCAGCCGCGGUAAUACGGAAGGUCCGGGCGUUAUCCGGAUUUAUUGGGUUUAAAGGGAGCGUAGGCCGGAGAUUAAGCGUGUUGUGAAAUGUAGACGCUCAACGUCUGCACUGCAGCGCGAACUGGUUUCCUUGAGUACGCACAAAGUGGGCGGAAUUCGUGGUGUAGCGGUGAAAUGCUUAGAUAUCACGAAGAACUCCGAUUGCGAAGGCAGCUCACUGGAGCGCAACUGACGCUGAAGCUCGAAAGUGCGGGUAUCGAACAGGAUUAGAUACCCUGGUAGUCCGCACGGUAAACGAUGGAUGCCCGCUGUUGGUCUGAAUAGGUCAGCGGCC
This 809-nucleotide ribosomal RNA is filed under the name uncultured bacterium. RNAcentral describes it as "bacterial SSU rRNA". It matches the Rfam family "Bacterial small subunit ribosomal RNA", at positions 49 to 848 of the family's 1533-position model. The record is from RNAcentral.